GUGGGGAAUCUUGCGCAAUGGGCGAAAGCCUGACGCAGCCAUGCCGCGUGAAUGAUGAAGGUCUUAGGAUUGUAAAAUUCUUUCACCGGGGACGAUAAUGACGGUACCCGGAGAAGAAGCCCCGGCUAACUUCGUGCCAGCAGCCGCGGUAAUACGAAGGGGGCUAGCGUUGCUCGGAAUUACUGGGCGUAAAGGGCGCGUAGGCGGACAGUUUAGUCAGAGGUGAAAGCCCAGGGCUCAACCUUGGAAUUGCCUUUGAUACUGGCUGUCUUGAGUACGGGAGAGGUGAGUGGAACGCCGAGUGUAGAGGUGAAAUUCGUAGAUAUUCGGAAGAACACCAGUGGCGAAGGCGACUCACUGGCCCGUUACUGACGCUGAGGCGCGAAAGCGUGGGGAGCAAACAGGAUUAGAUACCCCUGUAGUCC
RNAcentral lists this ribosomal RNA (425 nucleotides) under uncultured bacterium. RNAcentral describes it as "partial 16S ribosomal RNA". It matches the Rfam family "Bacterial small subunit ribosomal RNA", at positions 354 to 796 of the family's 1533-position model. The record is from RNAcentral.